Molecule: non-coding RNA, 841 nt
Organism: Pelobates cultripes (western spadefoot toad)
Lineage: Eukaryota; Metazoa; Chordata; Amphibia; Anura; Pelobatidae
Source: the annotation of a GenBank genome assembly
CCUCAAACGCAUUAAUCCAGUUUGUUAUUGCCUGGAUUUACCAGCUACUAUGAAGAUACCCAAUUCCUUUCAUGUUUCUCUCUUUAAACCUUUAAUUUGUAAUCGUUAUACUCGAAUACCCAUGAGACCACCUUCAACACUCGUAGAAGGCCAAAACGAAUACGAAGUGAAAUCUAUUUUGGACUCUCGUAUUUCUAGGAGUCGUCUCCAAUAUCUUUUAGACUGGAAAGGGUAUGGCCCCGAGGAACGUUCGUGGGUAGAUGCCUCCGAUGUACACGCUCCUCGCCUGGUUCGUUCGUUUGUUAGGCGUUGUUCUCGCAGGCCGAGUCCUCCCCGCCCUGGGGGCGGUUCUCGAGGGGGGGUACUGUGACGAUACCUUACCGUUUCUCUCCGGACCCGCGCAGCGUGUAUUUCUCCCUGGCUGCUUCUGGGAGGCGGCGGAGCCUGUCUGGCGCUGGCCGCUCGCGGCACGCCUCCUCUUCUGACGCGGUGCAUGCGCUCCGACCUCAACAGGAUUUUGCAGCGAAAAAUCAAAUGUGGCCACACUCCCGAACCUUUUGGGGGCGUGGCUUUAAAGCAAGUGAUACCUCACUAUAAAAGGGCGUCCCUGUCCUUCCCUCAGCGACCUAGUGUGGUUCUUGUUCAUUCCUUCUAGUGCUCUUUAUAAUUUUGUCUGUUUUCUGGUAUAUUGACCCUUGGCUUUCCUUACUGACUAUUCUCCUCUCUGGCUCCCCUAAUUUUGGCUUGGUUAUUCCUUCUGUAUUCCGUUUUCUGUAAUCCCUUGACCUCUGGCUUGUGGGGAUAUUUAUGGGAUGAUAAUAUUAAACAGUCGAGAAUGGCC